Molecule: ribosomal RNA, 566 nt
Filed under: Yponomeuta plumbellus
Lineage: Eukaryota; Metazoa; Arthropoda; Insecta; Lepidoptera; Yponomeutidae
Description: partial 16S ribosomal RNA
Rfam family: Archaeal large subunit ribosomal RNA (bases 419-566)
Source: RNAcentral
CGCCUGUUUAUCAAAAACAUGUCUUUUGAUUNAUAAUUUAAAGUCUGGUCUGCCCACUGAUUUUAUAAUUGAAGGGCUGCAGUAUAUUGACUGUACAAAGGUAGCAUAAUCAUUAGUCUUUUAAUUGAUGACUAGAAUGAAUGAUCGGAUAAAAUAUAAACUGUCUCUAAAUAAAUUUAUAAAAUUUAAUUUUUUAUUUAAAAAGUUAAAAUAAUUUUAAAAGACGAGAAGACCCUAUAGGGUUUGAUAAAUAUUAUAAAUUAAAAUUAUAUAUAAAUAUUUAAUUAAAAAUUAUAUAUUUAUUUUAUUGGGGUGAUAGAAAAAUUAAUUAAACUUUUUUUAUAAGUAAUACUUAUAAACAUAAAUAAUUGAUUAUAUGAUCCAAGUUUGAUUGAUUAUAAGAUUAAAUUACCUUAGGGAUAACAGCGUAAUUUUUUUUUUUAGUUCUUAUAAAAAAAAAAGUUUGCGACCUCGAUGUUGGAUUAAGAUAAAAUUUAAAUGCAAAUGUUUAAAAUUUUGAUCUGUUCGAUCAUUAAAAUCUUACAUGAUCUGAGUUCAAACCGGAG